This 253-nucleotide ribosomal RNA is filed under the name uncultured bacterium. RNAcentral describes it as "partial 16S ribosomal RNA". It matches the Rfam family "Bacterial small subunit ribosomal RNA", at positions 524 to 776 of the family's 1533-position model. The record is from RNAcentral.
UCCAGAGGUGGCAAGCGUUGUUCGGAAUUACUGGGCGUAAAGGGCGCGUAGGCGGCCUCUUUAGUCAGACGUGAAAUCCCCCGGCUUAACCUGGGAACUGCGUCUGAUACUGGGAGGCUAGAGUUCGGGAGAGGGAUGUAGAAUUCCAGGUGUAGCGGUGAAAUGCGUAGAUAUCUGGAGGAAUACCGGUGGCGAAGGCGGCAUCCUGGACCGAAACUGACGCUGAGGCGCGAAAGCUAGGGGAGCAAACGGG